GGUGGAUCCUGGCAGCAGCAGCGCAGGGGUCACGCUCCAGGCCUUUCUCCAAGCCCUCCCUACGCUGGGACGCAUUUACCCGCCUGCCUGUUGACUUCGGCUCGCACCCACUCCUGGGCUGCUCAGAGCUGCUGCUCCCUGUUGAUGAGCACUGUCACCCAGGAGCCCACGGGCCUCAGCGUUGAAGACCCCACAACGGCUGUCUCCAGUGAAUAGGAGCAAGCUCAAGCUCUCUCCAUGACGGCCGCAGAGCCUGGAGACCUGGUGCAGACCCCUCCUGCUCCCCCGAGCAGCUUCACAGCAACCAGAUGCAUGGGGUCUGCACCCUGGCAGGCCAGCCCCACACCCAUCACUGCACCCU
This 361-nucleotide long non-coding RNA is filed under the name Pan troglodytes (chimpanzee). Its description in RNAcentral is "long non-coding RNA NONPTRT006445". Lineage: Eukaryota; Metazoa; Chordata; Mammalia; Primates; Hominidae. The record is from RNAcentral.